AACGAACGCUGGCGGCAGGCCUAACACAUGCAAGUCGAGCGCCCCGCAAGGGGCGCGGCGGCCGGGUGAGUACCGCGUGGGAAUAUGCCCUUUGCUACGGAAUAGUCUCGGGAAACUGGGGGUAAUACCGUAUACGCCCUUUGGGGGAAAGAUUUAUCGGCGAAGGAUUAGCCCGCGUUGGAUUAGGUAGUUGGUGGGGUAAUGGCCUACCAAGCCGACGAUCCAUAGCUGGUUUGAGAGGAUGAUCAGCCACACUGGGACUGAGACACGGCCCAGACUCCUACGGGAGGCAGCAGUGGGGAAUCUUAGACAAUGGGGGCAACCCUGAUCUAGCCAUGCCGCGUGAGUGAUGAAGGCCUUAGGGUUGUAAAGCUCUUUCAGCUGGGAAGAUAAUGACGGUACCAGCAGAAGAAGCCCCGGCUAACUCCGUG
Molecule: ribosomal RNA, 431 nt
Filed under: uncultured bacterium
Lineage: Bacteria
Description: partial 16S ribosomal RNA
Rfam family: Bacterial small subunit ribosomal RNA
Source: RNAcentral